GACGAACGCUGGCGGCGUGCUUAACACAUGCAAGUCGAGCGGUAAGGCCCUUUCGGGGGUACACGAGCGGCGAACGGGUGAGUAACACGUGGGUGACCUGCCCUCAGCUCUGGGAUAAGCCUGGGAAACCGGGUCUAAUACUGGAUAUGACUCCAUGACGCAUGUUGUGGGGUGGAAAGCCUUGUGCGGCUGAGGAUGGGCCCGCGGCCUGUCAGCUUGUUGGUGGGGUGAGGCCUACCAAGGCGACGACGGGUAGCCGGCCUGAGAGGGCGACCGGCCACACUGGGACUGAGACACGGCCCAGACUCCUACGGGAGGCAGCAGUGGGGAAUCUUGCGCAAUGGGCGAAAGCCUGACGCAGCGACGCCGCGUGAGGGAUGACGGCCU
This 387-nucleotide ribosomal RNA is filed under the name uncultured bacterium. RNAcentral describes it as "bacterial SSU rRNA". It matches the Rfam family "Bacterial small subunit ribosomal RNA", at positions 28 to 417 of the family's 1533-position model. The record is from RNAcentral.